CAAUCGGCCCUUUUCAGGGCAACAAAUGUGUUUUAAAGAGUUGAUU
Aedes aegypti (yellow fever mosquito) is the source of this 46-nucleotide non-coding RNA. The record is from Rfam. NCBI's taxonomy places the organism in Eukaryota, Metazoa, Arthropoda, Insecta, Diptera, Culicidae.